This is a non-coding RNA of Saimiri boliviensis boliviensis (Bolivian squirrel monkey), 1095 nucleotides long. The record is from RefSeq and is a predicted model, not a curated record. Lineage: Eukaryota; Metazoa; Chordata; Mammalia; Primates; Cebidae.
GACUCCUGAGAAAGACCACUUUGUAAACCACCCUGCUGUCAAGGAAAGGCCAACAAUUGUCCUUUGUCCAUGGACCCCUCCCAUCAUCCCACUAUGAAGUUGCUGGUCCAAGCUGCUGCAAGAGAAUACAGAAGAGGGCAAGCUUGCUCAGCUUGGGUUCAAAGAAAGUUUCUCAAAGAAGAUGACAAGAAAGAUGAAACUUGAAGAAUGAAACUGAGGGAGAAGGGCGAUCCAGGGUCUGCUGUGUCAGCUGUUUCCUGGCUGCAAGUGACAGAAGCUGAUGGUGACAGAUGAAGCAGAAAAAGGGUUUAUUAAAAGACCAUUGGUUGACUCAGAAUUGUUGAGAAGGCUCGAAGAAACAAUCGUGAGGUUAAGCCUCCAAGAAAAUCACCCCCAAUUAUGUAGCACAUUGGCCUGAUGAGAAAUCUGCGGCCACUGCCCAUUACCACUCAGCGACUAUCCUGCAAGGAGCUCAGUAUGACUGUAACUGCUGCUGUUGAAGGCAUCAAUGUCACUUCUGUGUCAGAAACUAACUCUUACAUUGCCCCUUUCACCAACUUCUCACAAGUGCAUGUGAUCGGAGGAGCACCAAUCACGUCCCUGUGUCCUAGCUGCAAAUGAAGGAGAGGAGGAAAAUCAAACUUCAGUUUCAAAACUGUCUUUCCUGAUGCCUGGUUUUUGGAUGCUACAGAAGGCCCCUGGAGUAUCCAAAAGAGAGGAUGCAAUUGGAGAAACUGGUUGUCUUACCAAGGCUUUGACCGGAAGGAUAUGCUUCCAUUUAAGGAGUCAAGCUCAACUUGCAGAACUGAGAAAAGCCCCUUGGGAAAACUGGUCUCACACCCUUGUCUAUACAGUCCCCAUAUAGGAUUCCCAACCUGUGGUGAGUAAAGAAUGUCACUUUCCAACAGGCCCAGGAACCACAUGCUCCUGGGACCUGAAGGAAAGAGGAGUUUACUCAACUUGCAGAUACUUGAGGAUACAAACCCAUGGCUGGGCUUGGCUUUAAAAGGUCUCAUCUGAGAUUCCUGGUGAAACAGAGUAAUCUAAAAGUCAGAUGUAGAAAUAAUUAUUCUUGCUAUAUUUUAUGCAAAUAAU